Molecule: ribosomal RNA, 489 nt
Filed under: uncultured bacterium
Lineage: Bacteria
Description: bacterial SSU rRNA
Rfam family: Bacterial small subunit ribosomal RNA
Source: RNAcentral
GAUGAACGCUAGCUACAGGCUUAACACAUGCAAGUCGAGGGGCAGCAUGAACUUAGCUUGCUAAGUUUGAUGGCGACCGGCGCACGGGUGAGUAACACGUAUCCAACCUGCCGAUGACUCGGGGAUAGCCUUUCGAAAGAAAGAUUAAUACCCGAUGGCAUAGUUCUUCCGCAUGGUAGAACUAUUAAAGGAUUUCGGUCAUCGAUGGGGAUGCGUUCCAUUAGGUUGUUGGCGGGGUAACGGCCCACCAAGCCUUCGAUGGAUAGGGGUUCUGAGAGGAAGGUCCCCCACAUUGGAACUGAGACACGGUCCAAACUCCUACGGGAGGCAGCAGUGAGGAAUAUUGGUCAAUGGACGAGAGUCUGAACCAGCCAAGUAGCGUGCAGGAUGACGGCCCUAUGGGUUGUAAACUGCUUUUAUAAGGGAAUAAAGUGGGAGUCGUGACUCUUUUUGCAUGUACCUUAUGAAUAAGGACCGGCUAAUUCCGUG